ACCAUGAUCAGGCAGGUGGUUUUCCCAGGGCAAGGCUUAUCCCUUGCACUCUGGGUGUGCUGACCCCUGCGAUUUCCCCAAAUGUGGGAAACUCGACUGCGUAAUUUGUGUAUUGGGGGACUGCGUUUGCACUCUCCCCUG
This 141-nucleotide small nuclear RNA is filed under the name Podiceps cristatus (great crested grebe). Its description in RNAcentral is "U1 spliceosomal RNA". It matches the Rfam family "U1 spliceosomal RNA", at positions 23 to 166 of the family's 166-position model. From Rfam's summary of the family: U1 is a small nuclear RNA (snRNA) component of the spliceosome (involved in pre-mRNA splicing). Its 5' end forms complementary base pairs with the 5' splice junction, thus defining the 5' donor site of an intron. Lineage: Eukaryota; Metazoa; Chordata; Aves; Podicipediformes; Podicipedidae. The record is from Rfam by way of RNAcentral.